AUGAGUGGGAUGAGUGAAGGUUUAGGUGCAGAAGCUCUAACAGAGGAGAGCAGAGGACUGAUAAAUGUGAGACAUAGGCUGUUUUCUUUGGGGCCCAUCUACCCUGACCACAUCAUGAUGUUCAUCUGCAGCUAUUGCAAGGUGUUCAGAUUGUGUAAAUACAAAUGGCAUAAAAACUUUAAAAGAAGCGCAAUUCUGGAAAGAUUAGGUGGACUAAAGCAUUUUGUAAAGCAACUGGUAAUAAUGAGCUUACAGUGGGUAAUUCAUUUGAAUUUGAAAAAUACAGAAAUGAGCCUGUCAAAUACCGGCAAGAACUAUGGAAUAAAACUACUGAUGCAAUGAAGACAGUUGAAAAGAUCAAACAAAUGCUAAGCUAAAUUUAUAAUGAACAAAUUGAAGAAAAAAAAGGACUACAGAAAGUUCAGGACAUCAAAGAAGUCAGGCAAAACUCAUCUUGACACCUCUUGCAGGCAAAGGAAAGCAGCUGGAAGAAAAGGUGAUACAACAGUUAUAACAGGAUGCAGACACGGAAGAGGUUUCCUAAAAAUCUCAUUGUCUAUAACCGUUUCUAUAUUUACAUUUGAAAAUCUCCUUUGGAGACUUAGAACCUCUAAAUUAUUGACUUAUUUUUUAUAUAAGGUCACUCAAAUGAAAGGUGAUUAAAAAAUCAUCUACAUUGCUGUCUACAAAACAUCAGACAAUAUGGAUGUUAGAUUGCAUCUCAUUGUUAACUCUUUACUGAUAGAUAUGUUUGUAAAUAUGGAAGUGAAAUGUGGGCAUAAAAUGGUUAUGCUAUUUGGUUAAUGGUACUAGGCAACAUUUCUGUAAUUAAUGACAUUCAAAAAUUUAUGGCUAGUGAUAUAUAUAAAGUAAAAUUUUCUUUGCAGUAAAAUAUGCCUUUUAUUGUUAUAGAAGGGAGGAUAUAAGGAACCAACAGUUUGUAUGAAAAUAGCUCAAAUAAUAUCUUCUAUUUUGAUUUUAGUAUUUCUUAUUUUGGUUUAUUAGCAUCUUAGAACAAAAUGGCCUUAUAUAAUGAAGCCCAGUUAUGCUGGACUGUUUUUGACCUGUUUUAAUUGUUCUGACAGAUAAUUGGGGAUGAGGGCCAAAUAGUGUUUGCCUGAAAUGACUGACACUAUAUAAUUUCUGCUUUGGCAAAUACUCAGUUCUAACUUGUGAUUCCUGGUAGAACAAGCUUUAUUUUUCGAGCCUAGCAGUGAUCUAGAAGCAGAUGUUAUCUCAGUGCCUUUUAAAAUUUGUUGUGUGGUUUUCUUUUAAAAAGCCACACAAUAAUUUUGGAAAACAAUGUAUGGGUAGAACAUCUGUCUGUUAUUUGCACACAAAACCACUUUUAAUGGGUACAAAGUUAAAUUAGGAGGAAUAUGUUCAGAUGCCCUAUUGCACAGUAGGGUGAGUACAGUUAAUGUAUUGAAUGUUCUUGCUACAAAUAAAUGAUAAAUGUUUGAGUUGAUGGGCAUGCUAAUUACACUGAUUUGAUCGACACACAUUGUGUGUGAAACAGUACAUACACCAUAUUUACAAUUAUGUAUCAGUUUAACAUUUUAAAAAACAUUUCUAAUGUAAAAAGUAUGUCUCAAACUGUAGAUUAACUUCUUGAUUUAUAUUUAAAUAUGAAUCUUAAGCAAAAUAGUGAAAAUAAUCAUCUUGAUUUAGUGUUUUUCUCCCAUAUGUGAAUUGUAUAUACUUAGGUGAGGACAAUAAAAUCAACUGAACUGUAAGCUUAGAAUAGGACUGAGGGGUAAUUUUGCAUAGCAGCUUUACUAAGGGUACAUUGUUGCUUCAAAACUCUCUCUCUCUCUCUCUCUCUCUCUCAAUAAAUGGCCAAAGGGAUUAGUACUUUACCUUUGGAGGUCCUCAAAGCGUUAUUUGGAGUUGAUAAUACUUCAGCUAGAACCAAGUAGAAUCUGUUUUUUUCUGAGGAGUAUCGGUAGCAUAAAUGUGAUUAUAAACAAAGUACAGUUAAGAUGUAUGUAUGCAAUGACUGCUAUUUAUACAAAAUUUAAAUCUGCAAAUAGAAUCAACAUGCUUAUGGGUUAUUAAAAUUGUCUAAAUUCUUAGGUUCUUUAUACUACACGUGCUGAUUUACAAAUAAAUGAUUUAUUAAGUGA
This is an RNA transcript of Homo sapiens (human), 2126 nucleotides long. It is a transcript of the gene named putative ribosome biogenesis protein RLP24, with no coding region annotated. The transcript has 2 exons. The record is from RefSeq and is a predicted model, not a curated record. Lineage: Eukaryota; Metazoa; Chordata; Mammalia; Primates; Hominidae.